GUACAAUUCCUCAAGUUUUCAGACAUCGCACCUUGGAGAGAAGCUAAACAACUAAGUUCCCCCCUGGAUGCACCACCUCCAGCUGCCUGUGUCAGGAAGGUGCAGGGUAUGGGCUGCAGGAAGACCAGGAUCAGCCUGACUUGGCAGAGCAAAAGCACAGUGCUGUGGGAUGCGGGCAGCAGAGAAUGCUUUUGUGUCCUGGAAAGCUGGUGCCAGAUGUUUGCGUGUUUUCAGAAUGACUUUGUGCAAGACAUAUAACUCUGCUGACUGUGAGUUCAAUUUUAUUAGACAGUAACAGUAUGCUCUAAAUUCAAUUUCUCAUUGGAGAAACAGAAAAAAAAAAACAACCAAGCAAACAAUUUGAAAGCUGCACAAAAACUGCUGUUUCACGGUUUGCACAGGCCUCUGAUGAAGGAGCUCUUCUUAAUGAAG
RNAcentral lists this long non-coding RNA (432 nucleotides) under Phasianus colchicus (ring-necked pheasant). RNAcentral's name for it is "lncRNA (ENSPCLG00000003279.1)". The record is from RNAcentral. Lineage: Eukaryota; Metazoa; Chordata; Aves; Galliformes; Phasianidae.